GUACGGUGCCGGUCAGUACGGAGGAUCCCAGAUGUACAACGGUGGUCAGUACGCUGAAUCCGAAUUGUACGGCGGUGGUCAGUACAACGUCGGAGUCGGACAACACAGUGGUGGACAGCAGAUGUAUGCCAGCGGUCAACAGUAUUACCCUAGCCAAACUGUCUACUAAAUACGUAACAGGAAUGGUUGAGUCCCAGUGGUAAGGAUGACGCGAUGACUGGGAAGCUUUAAAAUUACCUGUGGUUAUUCGUUGUAUUUAUUGUGUUUAAGUUUUUGUAAAUAAAAAACAUCAAAACCUUA
Molecule: long non-coding RNA, 300 nt
Organism: Mizuhopecten yessoensis (Yesso scallop)
Lineage: Eukaryota; Metazoa; Mollusca; Bivalvia; Pectinida; Pectinidae
Exons: 2
Source: RefSeq, a predicted model, not a curated record